GAUGAAGAACGUAGCGAAAUGCGAUACGUAAUGUGAAUUGCAGAAUUCAGUGAAUCAUCGAGUCUUUGAACGCACAUUGCGCCCCCUGGUAUUCCGGGGGGCAUGCCUGUCCGAGCGUCAUUGCUGCCCUCAAGCGCGGCUUGUGUGUUGGGCCUCCGUCCUCCUCCCGGGGGACGGGCCCGAAAGGCAGCGGCGGCACCGCGUCCGGUCCUCGAGCGUAUGGGGCUUCGUCACCCGCUCUUGUAGGCCCGGCCGGCGCUUGCCGACACAUCAAUCUUUUUUCCAGGUUGACCUCGGAUCAGGUAGGGAUACCCGCUGAACUUAAGCAUAUCAAUAAGCGGAGGA
This 345-nucleotide unclassified non-coding RNA is filed under the name soil metagenome. RNAcentral describes it as "partial contains 5.8S ribosomal RNA, internal transcribed spacer 2, and large subunit ribosomal RNA". The stretch from base 1 to 120 matches the Rfam family "5.8S ribosomal RNA", at positions 35 to 154 of the family's 154-position model. The record is from RNAcentral.